RNAcentral lists this ribosomal RNA (253 nucleotides) under uncultured bacterium. RNAcentral's name for it is "partial 16S ribosomal RNA". It matches the Rfam family "Bacterial small subunit ribosomal RNA", at positions 524 to 776 of the family's 1533-position model. The record is from RNAcentral.
UACGAAGGGAGCUAGCGUUGUUCGGAAUCACUGGGCGUAAAGCGCACGUAGGCGGAUGUGUCAGUCAGGGGUGAAAUCCCGGAGCUCAACUUCGGAACUGCCCUUGAUACAGCACGUCUUGAGUCCGGAAGAGGUGGGUGGAAUUCCUAGUGUAGAGGUGAAAUUCGUAGAUAUUAGGAAGAACACCGGUGGCGAAGGCGGCCCACUGGUCCGGUACUGACGCUGAGGUGCGAAAGCGUGGGGAGCAAACGGG